RNAcentral lists this ribosomal RNA (460 nucleotides) under uncultured bacterium. Its description in RNAcentral is "partial 16S ribosomal RNA". It matches the Rfam family "Bacterial small subunit ribosomal RNA", at positions 338 to 795 of the family's 1533-position model. The record is from RNAcentral.
CCUACGGGAGGCUGCAGUGAGGAAUAUUGGUCAAUGGACGAGAGUCUGAACCAGCCACGUAGCGUGAAGGAUGACUGCCCUCUGGGUUGUAAACUUCUUUUAUAUGGGAAUAAAAUGUUCCACUUGUGGGAUUUUGUAUGUACCAUAUGAAUAAAGAUCGGCUAACUUCGUGCCAGCAGCGGAGGUAAUACGGAGGAUCCGAGCGUUAUCCGGAUUUAUUGGGUUUAAAGGGAGCGUAGGUGGAUUGUUAAGUCAGUUGUGAAAGUUUGCGGCUCAACCGGAAAAUUGCAGUUGAAACUGGCAGUCUUGAGUACAGUAGAGGUGGGCGGAAUUCGAGGUGUAGCAGUGAAAUGCUUAGAUAUCUCGAAGAACUCCGAUGGCGAAGGCAGUUCACUGGACUGCAACUGACACUGAGGCUCGAAAGUGUGGGUAUCAAACAGGAUUAGAUACCCCUGUAGUC